Molecule: long non-coding RNA, 201 nt
Filed under: Elaeis guineensis (African oil palm)
Lineage: Eukaryota; Viridiplantae; Streptophyta; Magnoliopsida; Arecales; Arecaceae
Description: long non-coding RNA (EGUI_LNC040777)
Source: RNAcentral
UCACUUGUACUAAAAUCAAUCGUCUUUAUAUUUUAACCUUAUACAAUCAAGAUGGCAAUUGAACUACUGUUGCAGUAAAGCUUUAGUGAACAGAUAUCCUAUGUUAUUUUUUAUAUCUACUAAUUUAAUGAUUACAUAUUGUCUCUCGAUAAUCUCACGAAUGAGAUGAAAAUGUCUUAGAAUGUGCUUAGAUCUAUGAUA